AAGGGAAACUGCUUCAGCAUAAUCUGGGCCGCGAUGUGGUUGAUGCGUUGAAGGAUCUCAAGAAAAAGCUCUCCGAAGACGAGUCGACGUAGCUGCCCUUUACUGGGAUGGACUGCCCUUUACUGGGAUGGACUAACAAAGCUACUUCAAAGGUGGAUGAAUCGCCAAUCAUAAUUAAGGGAUGUUACUACAAUUAUCAAUUGCUGACGGAAUCACCGGGG
This 221-nucleotide long non-coding RNA is filed under the name Ananas comosus (pineapple). RNAcentral's name for it is "long non-coding RNA (ACOM_LNC002365)". The record is from RNAcentral. Lineage: Eukaryota; Viridiplantae; Streptophyta; Magnoliopsida; Poales; Bromeliaceae.